RNAcentral lists this ribosomal RNA (510 nucleotides) under uncultured bacterium. Its description in RNAcentral is "partial 16S ribosomal RNA". It matches the Rfam family "Bacterial small subunit ribosomal RNA", at positions 28 to 507 of the family's 1533-position model. The record is from RNAcentral.
GACGAACGCUGGCGGCGUGCUUAACACAUGCAAGUCGUACGAAGAGCGAUGGAAGCUUGCUUCUAUCAAUCUUAGUGGCGAACGGGUGAGUAACGCGUAAUCAACCUGCCCUUCAGAGGGGGACAACAGUUGGAAACGACUGCUAAUACCGCAUACGAUCUAACCUCGGCAUCGAGGAUAGAUGAAAGGUGGCCUCUACAUGUAAGCUAUCACUGAAGGAGGGGAUUGCGUCUGAUUAGCUAGUUGGAGGGGUAACGGCCCACCAAGGCGAUGAUCAGUAGCCGGUCUGAGAGGAUGAACGGCCACAUUGGGACUGAGACGCGGCCCAGACUCCUACGGGAGGCAGCAGUGGGGAAUCUUCCGCAAUGGACGAAAGUCUGACGGAGCAACGCCGCGUGAGUGAUGACGGCCUUCGGGUUGUAAAGCUCUGUUAAUCGGGACGAAAGGCCUUCUUGCGAAUAGUUAGAAGGAUUGACGGUACCGGAAUAGAAAGCCACGGCUAACUACGUG